UAUAUUUAAGUGUUUGGUGCAUGGGAAAUUUUGAUUUUCUCGGGCAUGGUUUAAUUCCAUGAAAUAUAA
This 69-nucleotide transfer RNA is filed under the name Sciocoris lateralis. RNAcentral describes it as "tRNA-Gln". Lineage: Eukaryota; Metazoa; Arthropoda; Insecta; Hemiptera; Pentatomidae. The record is from RNAcentral.